Molecule: transfer RNA, 85 nt
Filed under: Felis catus (domestic cat)
Lineage: Eukaryota; Metazoa; Chordata; Mammalia; Carnivora; Felidae
Also listed under: 4 other names
Rfam family: tRNA
About the family: Transfer RNA (tRNA) molecules are approximately 80 nucleotides in length. Their secondary structure includes four short double-helical elements and three loops (D, anti-codon, and T loops). Further hydrogen bonds mediate the characteristic L-shaped molecular structure. tRNAs have two regions of fundamental functional importance: the anti-codon, which is responsible for specific mRNA codon recognition, and the 3' end, to which the tRNAs corresponding amino acid is attached (by aminoacyl-tRNA synthetases). tRNAs cope with the degeneracy of the genetic code in two manners: having more than one tRNA (with a specific anti-codon) for a particular amino acid; and 'wobble' base-pairing, i.e. permitting non-standard base-pairing at the 3rd anti-codon position.
Source: Rfam by way of RNAcentral
GCCUGGGUGGCUCAGUCAGUUGAGCAUCUGACUUCGGCUCAGGUCAUGAUCUCACAGUUUGUGAGUUCAAGCCCCGCAUCAGGCU